This 72-nucleotide transfer RNA is filed under the name Solirubrobacteraceae bacterium. It matches the Rfam family "tRNA". From Rfam's summary of the family: Transfer RNA (tRNA) molecules are approximately 80 nucleotides in length. Their secondary structure includes four short double-helical elements and three loops (D, anti-codon, and T loops). The record is from Rfam by way of RNAcentral. Lineage: Bacteria; Bacillati; Actinomycetota; Thermoleophilia; Solirubrobacterales; Solirubrobacteraceae.
GCCCCCAUGGUGUAGCGGUUAGCACGUCAGCCUUUCACGCUGAUAGCAGGGGUUCGAUUCCCCUUGGGGGUA